This 1120-nucleotide long non-coding RNA is filed under the name Brassica napus (rape). RNAcentral's name for it is "long non-coding RNA (BNAP_LNC007391)". The record is from RNAcentral. Lineage: Eukaryota; Viridiplantae; Streptophyta; Magnoliopsida; Brassicales; Brassicaceae.
CAAGGAAUGUUCUAGUCUACCUCGACUUGUACUUAACAAAAUGCAGAUAGUAUAGUCUUGCAUUUCCUAACACAUAAGCCAAGCAAAGAAAGAGAAAAUGGGGAAGGAAGCAAGAACACAAAACUGCAUUAAUCAUCUCAUUGCAUGUCUUUUUUUGUAAAAACAAUGCAUCAGUCUUUGCUGGAAAUGCAGAAGUAAACAUUGUUUACCAAAAUGAGGGAAACAGAAACAUUUCCCAAAUUAUAUUCAAUAUUUCUUUCUUUUAUAUGCUCUUUUCACUUCUUCUUUUGUUAGUUUCUUCUUCCACUAUCCAACCAACCCUACAAAACCGCAAAGUAAAAACUUAAACAUGAAAAUCAUUUACCAUCAGGAAAAACAAUUUCCGGUGGCUUGCAAUAACAGUCAAAAUGAUUACUUGAGGCUUAACCCUAAAAUGUAACAGAACAUUCUAUCCAAACAUUUUGCGGUAUUGCUUGAUUAGCUUCAAAGGAACUAGAUGAACCGAAAGUAAACAGCCAAAUACAUGCUUUGAUUAGUUCUGAAAUGUAAUGCCUUCUGGGCCUUAAGAUUUGAGCCGAAGCUCUCCUGAAUAAAGGCCCAGGCCCAAUUGGAAAAAAGCAGAAUCACAGUUUGGGUCUUUGUUGGAAUCAGCGAGACGUGAGCUAAGCCAUGGAAGCGAUGACGAUGGCUGUGUUACGGCGGAGGAGAAGGAAUGUGAGCAGAGUGGAGUAGCGGCGGCGGUGAAGAAAUCGGAGGAGAACCGAAGUGGAUUAGCUGAGAAGGGUGAGGAGCUCUAAAGAGGGGUGGAGCGAAGUAGCGACGCCGUUGAGGAGAUCUGAAUAGGAGUGAAGUGGAGCUAUGGGGAAGGUGCAACAGAGUCGAAACUCACAAGGGCCUGUCGCAGGGGUAAACGGAAUUGGACUGACAUGAGCGGGAUGAAGAAAGCUGAACUACGGUGAACUCGGAGAGGCACUAGCAGAGCCACCAGCGAAGGGUUGAGCCCGUAGACAUGGAGCUCUUCACCGGAUCUCAAACACAACCAUCGUAGAAGAACCGUAGACUAGGAGAGAAAGAGUGACCUGAACUGCACCAAAAUAGAUUAAAAAAACACUAUGGCCAC